UCCGGUGGCGAUGCGCUUGGGGGAAACACCCGUUCCCAUCCCGAACACGAUGGUUAAGACUCAAGCGGCCGAUGGUACUAUGCUGGUGACGGCAUGGGAGAGCAGGUGGCUGCCGGAU
This 118-nucleotide ribosomal RNA is filed under the name Enterocloster lavalensis. The record is from RNAcentral. RNAcentral also lists the same sequence under 1 other name. Lineage: Bacteria; Bacillati; Bacillota; Clostridia; Lachnospirales; Lachnospiraceae.